UGCCAGACUCCUACGGGAGGCAGCAGUGGGGAAUAUUGCACAAUGGGGGAAACCCUGAUGCAGCGACGCCGCGUGAGUGAAGAAGUAUUUCGGUAUGUAAAGCUCUAUCAGCAGGGAAGAAAUAGCGACCUUUGGGUCGCCAGACGGUACCUGACUAAGAAGCCCCGGCUAACUACGUGCCAGCAGCCGCGGUAAUACGUAGGGGGCAAGCGUUAUCCGGAUUUACUGGGUGUAAAGGGAGCGUAGACGGCAGCACAAGUCUGGAGUGAAAGGCCGGGGCCCAACCCCGGGACUGCUCUGGAAACUGCCUGGCUGGAGUACAGGAGAGGUAAGUGGAAUUCCUAGUGUAGCGGUGAAAUGCGUAGAUAUUAGGAGGAACACCAGUGGCGAAGGCGGCUUACUGGACUGUAACUGACGUUGAGGCUCGAAAGCGUGGGGAGCAAACAGGAUUAGAUACCCGGGUA
This 464-nucleotide ribosomal RNA is filed under the name uncultured bacterium. Its description in RNAcentral is "bacterial SSU rRNA". It matches the Rfam family "Bacterial small subunit ribosomal RNA", at positions 329 to 792 of the family's 1533-position model. The record is from RNAcentral.